This 253-nucleotide ribosomal RNA is filed under the name uncultured bacterium. RNAcentral's name for it is "partial 16S ribosomal RNA". It matches the Rfam family "Bacterial small subunit ribosomal RNA", at positions 524 to 776 of the family's 1533-position model. The record is from RNAcentral.
UACAGAGGUCCCAAGCGUUGUUCGGAUUUACUGGGCGUAAAGGGUGCGUAGGUGGCUAGGUAAGUCUGACGUGAAAUCCCACAGCUUAACUGUGGAACUGCGUCGGAUACUAUCAAGCUAGAGGUAUGGAGGGGAGAUUGGAAUGCUCGGUGUAGCAGUGAAAUGCGUAGAUAUCGAGCGGAACACCAGUGGCGAAGGCGAAUCUCUGGACAUUACCUGACACUGAGGCACGAAAGCCAGGGGAGCAAACGGG